Molecule: ribosomal RNA, 301 nt
Filed under: uncultured bacterium
Lineage: Bacteria
Description: partial 16S ribosomal RNA
Rfam family: Bacterial small subunit ribosomal RNA
Source: RNAcentral
CAGUAGCCACGGGAAUACGAGGGGGGCAAGCGUUGUUCGGAAUUACUGGGCGUAAAGCGCACGUAGGCGGCUUGGUAAGUUAGAGGUGAAAGCCCAGGGCUCAACCCUGGAAUUGCCUUUAAGACUGCCGAGCUAGUAGGUGAAGAGGAGAGUGGAAUUCCACGUGUAGCGGUGAAAUGCGUAGAUAUCGGAAGGAACACCUGUGGCGAAAGCGGCUCACUGGACCAUUUCUGACGCUGAUGCACGAAAGCUAGGGGAGCAAACAGGAUUAGAUACCCCUGUAGUCCCUGUCUCUUAUACC